Molecule: ribosomal RNA, 465 nt
Filed under: uncultured Veillonella sp.
Lineage: Bacteria; Bacillati; Bacillota; Negativicutes; Veillonellales; Veillonellaceae
Description: bacterial SSU rRNA
Rfam family: Bacterial small subunit ribosomal RNA
Source: RNAcentral
CCUACGGGGGGCAGCAGUGGGGAAUCUUCCGCAAUGGACGAAAGUCUGACGGAGCAACGCCGCGUGAGUGAUGACGGCCUUCGGGUUGUAAAGCUCUGUUAAUCGGGACGAAAGGCCUUCUUGCGAAUAGUGAGAAGGAUUGACGGUACCGGAAUAGAAAGCCACGGCUAACUACGUGCCAGCGGCCGCGGUAAUACGUAGGUGGCAAGCGUUGUCCGGAAUUAUUGGGCGUAAAGCGCGCGCAGGCGGAUCGGUCAGUCUGUCUUAAAAGUUCGGGGCUUAACCCCGUGAUGGGAUGGAAACUGCCAAUCUAGAGUAUCGGAGAGGAAAGUGGAAUUCCUAGUGUAGCGGUGAAAUGCGUAGAUAUUAGGAAGAACACCAGUGGCGAAGGCGACUUUCUGGACGAAAACUGACGCUGAGGCGCGAAAGCCAGGGGAGCGAACGGGAUUAGAUACCCUGGUAGUC